CCCGGUCUAGUCAAUUAGGUCAAUCUGAAUUGAGGGUAAAAAGGAACUCAGUAUAAAAGGAGAAGAGAGAGCACACAAGAGGUAUUCAGAAACAAAAGAAAUGAUAUGAGCGGCUAGAACUAGGGUUCAUCUUUGAUCUGCCGGAAAUCUUGUUAUUUCUUGGUUAUUAAUCAAACACUCUUAUAAUCUGUCACUUGAUUGAUCAGUAAAACAUCUUUUAAACGACUCAUCA
This 232-nucleotide long non-coding RNA is filed under the name Brassica napus (rape). RNAcentral describes it as "long non-coding RNA (BNAP_LNC010611)". The record is from RNAcentral. Lineage: Eukaryota; Viridiplantae; Streptophyta; Magnoliopsida; Brassicales; Brassicaceae.